Molecule: transfer RNA, 96 nt
Filed under: Stenotrophomonas maltophilia
Lineage: Bacteria; Pseudomonadati; Pseudomonadota; Gammaproteobacteria; Lysobacterales; Lysobacteraceae
Description: tRNA-Pro(ggg)
Source: RNAcentral
AGAUCGAUUGGCAAAGCGGCAGGUGGCCUGGUGUUGGGUUUGUCGGUGGCGGCGGCCGCGCAUGCGGCACCGUUGUUCGAGCCGGUGACGGUCAUC